Molecule: small nuclear RNA, 61 nt
Filed under: Cervus elaphus hippelaphus
Lineage: Eukaryota; Metazoa; Chordata; Mammalia; Artiodactyla; Cervidae
Source: RNAcentral
AGCUUUGCACAGUGGCAGUAUCACAGCCAGUGAGAUUUACCCAAGGCAUGAUUACUGCUAA